GUGAAGUGCGGAGACAUUG
RNAcentral lists this ribosomal RNA (19 nucleotides) under Echinochloa frumentacea (billion-dollar grass). RNAcentral describes it as "partial 18S ribosomal RNA". Lineage: Eukaryota; Viridiplantae; Streptophyta; Magnoliopsida; Poales; Poaceae. The record is from RNAcentral.